AUUCUGCUUGAAAAAUGCAGCUUCUUGUCAGGAGCUCUCUUCAGAAAUGUGCAGCUUGGAUGCCAAAAGCAUUUUGUUAACAGGAAAAUUAUUAAUGUGAAACUGCAAAUGAAAAGGCAGAGAAAUGCCUCUGCAGAGGAUAAUACACAACAUGGCCAAAGGAUUAAACAGCCCAAGGAGAGAGCACCAUUUGUAUAUUCUGCUACAAGGUGUUUUUUUGGUAUGUGUUGUGACUAGCUGUUGUCACCUUCAAGCUGUAUAUUAAGCUGCCUGCAGUGGAAGUUUAUCCAAUUUAAUAUUACCAGAACUGGACCCUUAAGAAGGACAAUGAAAGACCUAAAUGGAGGCACAGAGACCCUGCUGCAAAACCCACUGUGGGCACACACACGCAGAUCUCAUUUUCCUGUUCUUUGCGUCCCCCAGCUGCAGCUCAGCACUUCAACAUGUAA
Alligator sinensis (Chinese alligator) is the source of this 449-nucleotide long non-coding RNA. RefSeq lists it as uncharacterized. The record is from RefSeq and is a predicted model, not a curated record. NCBI's taxonomy places the organism in Eukaryota, Metazoa, Chordata, Crocodylia, Alligatoridae. The transcript has 4 exons.